This 485-nucleotide ribosomal RNA is filed under the name uncultured Caenomorpha. RNAcentral's name for it is "bacterial SSU rRNA". It matches the Rfam family "Eukaryotic small subunit ribosomal RNA", at positions 45 to 565 of the family's 1831-position model. Lineage: Eukaryota; Ciliophora; Armophorea; Armophorida. The record is from RNAcentral.
UAAGCCAUGCAUGUCUAAGUAUAAUAGGAUACUGUGAAACUGCGAAUGGCUCAUUAAAACAGUUAUAGUUUACUUGACGAACUUCUAAAUGGAUAACCGUAGUAAGACCAGAGCUAAUACAUGCACCGGUGGCUGUCAAAGGCCCGCAUUUAUUAGAUAAAACCAUCUGUGGUGAAUCAUAAUAACUGAACGAAUCGCUCGGCGUAUGCCGCGAUGCGUCAUUCAAGUUUCUGCCCUAUCAGCUUUCGAUGGUAGUGUAUUGGACUACCAUGGCGUUAACGGGUAACGGAGAAUUAGGGUUCGAUUCCGGAGAGGGAGCCUGAGAAAUGGCUACCACAUCUAAGGAAGGCAGCAGGCGCGCAAAUUACCCAAUCCUGACACAGGGAGGCAGCGACAAGAUAUAACAACGUAGGCACUCUGUGCUUGCGGUUGUAAUGAAUCGGGCGUAAAAACCCCGGUGAAUUCCAUUGGAGGGCAAGUCUGGU